UCGCAAGCCGGCGAAGUUCGCGCGAAUGCUCAUCCUCGAUCGCGUUCAGUACAGCUUGAAAUAUGCGUAAAAGUGACACCUGAAGACACUGCUUACCUUCCUCCUCCAGUUCAUCUUCUUCUUCUGAAUCUUCUUGCACCUCACCAUCAUUAUCGUCCGCAUCAGUCGCUAGAAAAAGGAAAAAAACAAAAACCAUUACUCAACACUAUUGCAAUCGAUUACGGAGCGAAAAGCCUUUACCAGAAGACAAAUUGGCGGCGAAAAUGUCUUGAAGCGUGAUCAGAUCCUCAUCCGGGGUGGCAGUCUCGCUGCCAAAGCAGCUGCUCGUCGUCCAAACCGAUCUGUGGAGGUUCUUUUUCCUCAGCAACGAAUGGAUACUCUUCAAACAAUCUCCUCUGGAGGAUGGAGAAGAAGUAAGAAAGGGAAGAGUAAAUAAGAACGGAAGAGGCCGAAUCGAACGGCGUGGGUAGCUCCUGCUGCUUAAGUUCACCAUUUUCCAGCAACGAGGCAAUGGU
Long non-coding RNA from Anopheles arabiensis, 515 nucleotides. RefSeq lists it as uncharacterized. The transcript is spliced from 4 exons. The record is from RefSeq and is a predicted model, not a curated record. NCBI's taxonomy places the organism in Eukaryota, Metazoa, Arthropoda, Insecta, Diptera, Culicidae.